CCAGAUGUUUUGGGUUCUCUCUCUCUCUCAGUCUCUCUCGAUUUUGUCUAUCUCUCUUCUGUUAGAUCGUUGCUACUAUGAAUGAGGGAGAAGAUGAAGUGGUUGUCCAUUGUGACUGCUUUGGCCGGUGUGGAGGAGCUUGGUGAUGAUGGCUAUGACAGUGGCUGACGAGUCUGUGGUGUUUGGUUUUGACUAAGAGAGAGGCUGGCGGUUAAAGAUGGUGGUUGGUAGAGGAGGGACGACGCAGCUGCUGUAAGUG
RNAcentral lists this long non-coding RNA (259 nucleotides) under Populus trichocarpa (black cottonwood). Its description in RNAcentral is "long non-coding RNA (PTRI_LNC003634)". Lineage: Eukaryota; Viridiplantae; Streptophyta; Magnoliopsida; Malpighiales; Salicaceae. The record is from RNAcentral.